Centrocercus urophasianus (Greater sage-grouse) is the source of this 7254-nucleotide long non-coding RNA. RefSeq lists it as uncharacterized. The transcript is spliced from 4 exons. The record is from RefSeq and is a predicted model, not a curated record. Lineage: Eukaryota; Metazoa; Chordata; Aves; Galliformes; Phasianidae.
CUUUGGACACCUUUCUGGAAAAUGCUUGUGUGAAUGGCUCUGCUGGCAGAAUUUUUCGUGGAAAGACCCAAUGCUAAAUACAUACACUCCCUUGUAAAUCUACGUGUUUUGUCCUUCCAUACUCAAGCUAACACAACAGGAUCUCCAUUUUCAGACUGUUUUCGUGGUCCCAUCACACUCAGAAAUAAAGUGGGAGAUUUGUUCUAUCCAGGAAAUUGCCCCUCACUGGUAUUCUUGACUGAACUCAGGAUCAUGAGCACGUAAGUUCCUUGACUGUAACUAAUGCUUUUGGGAGGGAGCCAACCCUGUUCCCUGUCUUCCCCAGAGUCCUACAGAACUCAAAUUCAAGUUCCAGUAUCUGGUAUGUAUGUACACAUAAGCAUUGUGAAGCAGAAGUAUAAAUGAGACUGUAAAUAUGACUUUAUGAUGGAAAAUUUGGGCAACGGUUUUAUUGUUUCUCGUUUCAACCAUCUUGAAAAUGCUGUAAAGGAAUUGAGAAGUAACUGGAAAGUUUCUGAAUUUAUUUUCCUUAAUGGAACUCUUAUGAUUAUGUCAUUGUAAGAGCUGUGACACAGGGCUACAAACGUGGUGAGCAGUCUGGAGGGCAAAACAUAGGAGGAGGAACCGAGGUCCCUUGGGUUGGUUUGUUCAGCUGAGAAGAGGCUGAGGGAAGGCCUUGUAGCUUACAGUUGGGCUCAAUGAUCCUUAUGGGUCCCUUCUGAUUUGGAUGUUCUGUGACUCUAUGAUUCUACUAUUUUGAGUAUUGCUUUUCUUUGUGUACUGUGGGUUUUUUUCCCCAUUAUACAAGAAAUCUAGCAUACUUCCACAAAAGCUGGUAAGAAGUUCAAAAUAAGGAAUUGAUUUUAUUUUAAAUACAACUUUUUGAAAAACAUCUGCUUGAUUCUCUAUGUAUUUUUGUGUUUUGCAAAAUUAAGAUAUUAUUGCUUAAAUUGAUUAGGAAAACUCUAAAAGCAGAUAAAAUUAGAAAGAACUUAACCAGAAAGAAGGAAAAUUUACCUUACUGGUACCAGUUUGACAUUCACCAGUUGAUUUUUAUAAAUCCUCAAUUGUCCUUCUCGAUAGGAACCAUUUGAAGUUUAGAUAGAAAGAAUAUGGAACUCUGUACCUGUAAAGAGCUGCUGUUAAAGCGUGGGCUGUGGUUUGCUACACUGGGGAGCAGCUCUGAUCGAAGAGGCCUAGUGGUCUUAGUGGACCAGUGUGUCUGUGUUUCUUCUGGUAUUACAUCUGCCUCUUGAAGGAGGAAAAACAAAAGUAAUUAAAAAACUAAAAGCAGUUUUCAAGUUGUGGAACUACUAAAAUGUCUGAAUCGAGGAGUUAUCAGUAAAAAAUCUUUCAGAAAUGAUAUUGUGGAAGAAACUACUAUUGAAAAAACGAUGAGGUUUCUACUCAAGAUUUUCUAGUCCUGGCAUAAUGUGGCACUGAUCAUUAGUCUGACACUUUCUAUAUCAUGCUGGUUUGUGUCUGGCCAAGAAGGUGCAAUAUGAAGGUUGCUUCUACAAGUCUGUAUCUGUCUGCAGAGCUGAACCUCAAUUAUUAUAUCUGACAAAGAAUAAGCUGUUAUUACAAUAAAUAUUACAUGGGAGGUCUUAAAAUAAACUUUCUCCCUGUUGCCUGACAGGAGAGGCUGAGUGGCUUUAACAUAGUGCACCAAAGUGUACUCCUGAAUUGGUUUCACCUCUAUUUCAGAGAAACCAGAAGGAUAAUCAUUUAAUAAUUUCAUAUAAGUGUUGUCACGAUCAAAAGAAGAAUGUGAUUCAUUUAAAUUUGGAAGAGAAUCUAAGUGACUGCUUUGCAUCAGUAAACUUCAGAGUGCUCUGUAAUUCGUCAUGGCCGACAGCAAGAAAACCCAGUUGAAGGAAGUGUAUGUAUAAUGCUGUUAGAAAAGUUUUGAAUUUAGCUGAACUUUACUCUUCAGUUCACUGACUGGUGUGACAUUAAGAACACAAUAAAGGUCAGUUAAAUGGCAACAUCAAAAAGUUUCUUAAAUUAUAAGAUGGCUCUUGCGUGUGUCCAGGCUGCUGAUGAAUCCUUAGCGAAUUAUCGUGGUCUACCAGUAGACAAACACUCUAUAUGUAAAAAUAUGUUCCUUCAAAUUAUUUGAGUGGUAGAGCAAGUAGAGCAACAUUGCCAAACUUCCACCGUGAUGAAACAGAAAGCAGAUUUUGAAAAGGUAUUACUUAACAGUUUUUUUUUUAAGUUCUGUAAGACGGAGGCUUUGAUUUCUGUAAAGCUGUUUAUGGUACUACUUAAGAUUUAACCUCUACCUUAAUGCUAUUGUAAGCCAGAAUGUAAUUAAUAUUUCUUUCUGGCAAAGGGCCAGCAGGUCAGUAGUUGCUCAGGAAAGGAAAACAUUGUACAUACGCCAAGCAGAAGCUCCACAUUUUGGGAUCCUGUUUGUACCAAGCAGGGUUAAAGUUCGUUACAUAAGGGGACUGUAAGCAACAACUUGAAAGUGCAGAAAUAAAAGACCGUUGAAAUUAAUUAUGUAUGGCCUACAAGAUUUUAAUCUCGGUGGAUCUCCUUCACAAACUGUAGCCAGUUUGGCUUGUGUUUAUUCACUACACCCAACUCUUCUUCAUGUAAAAUGUGUUGAAAACUCUUGUGAGUCUGGCAAAAUUCCAGCAUUAGCAAAGUUAUAUAGAACACCUUCACUCUUAGAAGAUCAAACAGUAAAGAAUAAAUGAGUCUUUCUCAAAUGCCCACAGAUGGAAAUUCACCCUGAUCAUUUAUGGAUGGAUGCUAGCAGAAUAGUGGCAUAAAUUAAAAAUACCAGUAAAAUACUAUUCAAGUGAUUUAAUCGAAGGUAUUAAGGCCAGCUAGUUCAAGAAAGAAAAUGAAAAGGAAUAAUUCUAUAGGCUAUAGGGGACUGCUGAUUUAACCUGUUGCAAUUAAUACACUUCAGUGCCUUUGAUAUGCCAGCAUUUGAUGAAUGUACUGGUAACGAUCACUGAAUCUAUCAAAAAUAAGCAUAUUCAGUGAGACUGGCUUUUGAAUUUAGAACAAACAUAACAAAAAGCUAAGCCAUUGGGCUAAUUUGAGGAACCUCACCACUGCAUUAGAUUAGCAAGAGCAAGCUGAACUGAGCAGAGAAGACCCAAAGAUGAUGAUAGAAAACGGCACUUAACAGAGCAUUUUCCCCAGGUCCCUAAAAGAUCCUUAUGCAUCUGUUCAUUUUAUGAGCUAAACCCAUUGAAGAUGGAUUUGGCAAGCAUGGGUGUGCAUGACCACUGGAAUAGACUUUUUGUGCAUCAGUAUAGAUUGAUUGAUUCUAGAUAGCGCACCAGAACAUGGCGUUUUUUCCCCCAAAAUAAAAAGUCAAGCCACUGCUUGGAACUACUUUUUGGAUUCUGUUAAGCAGCAUUUUCCCCUGCACUGUAGCAGCUCACAUGGGUGAGAUCUGAAUGGACAGAUCCUGAAAAGAAUAGUUAAGUGCUUUUUAGAAAUUCUUUGUCAAUGCUAGUUUUCAUUUUUGUUAUACAGUGGAAGAUUUGAUGUCUGUAGAUCAGCUGUGAAUAGAUGACACUGUGGAUACAAAGAAGUCUUAAAGGUGAUUCCGUUCUCCAGGUACUGAAUCAAUAGCAUCUUUGCCAUUGACAUCUAUAGCAAUAUAAAUACGUAGCAAUUAUGUAUUAAAAUUACUGUUAUAACAAUAAUGAAAAAAAAUUGAGAGAAACUUGAUAUGCAAUAUAGAAUCCUUAGGAGUCCCUCAAAGUUCAUUGCUCUAAAGAAUUGCACCUUAAUUGUGUAGUUUCAUUUUCUAAGGAAAGGUUCUGUAAAAUAUAACUUUAACUAUUUCACUGUUUUCAUUUUUUUUAUUUGCCAUGAAAGAUACUUACAUUUUAUUGGUCUGUUUAUUUUUGAGUGGACUCCCCUUCUUGUCUAUGCCACUUACACCAUCUUAAUUUUAAAUUUUAAUGGACAAAUUCCCAGCUUUCUGAUAUACUCUGUUAGAAACCAAUCCCAAGUCUGUCAUUGUGAUGGUAAGGAAUGGAGUCUUUGGAGAGGCAACAUCUCAUUUGCAGUGAAUUCCUGGAUGGCUUUUCUUAAAUUGGCUUUUCCCCAGAAGUAACUUAUAAAUGUGGUUAUUCAUUUAAAUAGUUUACUACUGGGAAAACAAAGCUCUAUAAAGUACAAGAUCUCAUUUGCAAAGUGGGUCCUGGGGACUGAAAGACAUGUGCUAUGUGUUGUAGUCUCCAUCUUCUGCUUUUUCUGCUGUUAGGAAAUUAUUUGAAAAAUACCUAAAAUAGGAACAAUAUGCUCAAUGGCUGAACAGAAGGCUCACAUCUGAUCUCCACAGCAAAACCCAGAGUGGUAGCCUUUAACAAUGGUUACUGUAGUCCUCAGAGGAAAGGAUCUGUGUGCUUAUUGGAAGAGCCAGCACAGCUUCUUUUUCCCAGGAGGGCUCAGUCUGGUUGUGGCAACCCCUGGCUGUGUGUCUGCUAGGAAAAGGGACAUGCCUGGGAUGUUCUUUGGUGAUGAGAGUAUCAGAUGUAUACCGUAUGUCCAAUGUCUGUGUCCACAAUCUGAAACAGAGGCUGCUUCAAAAAUAUCUUUGGGAAGUGUCUUAGCUGAUGUUAAGUCUUCUUGAGUCAUGCCUGUGCCCAAAUCAAGUCAAGGAUCAAUCUAGCAGUUUAGCAAUUGGCUUCUAGUGAAACUUUACUUUUAAAGAUCUCUUGGAAUUAUAUAAUGAAAGGUGAUCCUCACCUAAUUUAUGGAAAGAAUAAACUAAAUCCUUGGAUCAUUCAUACUUAUCAAGUAUUCCAAGCAUAAAAGCCCUAUGGAAACAAGACUUGUCUCAUGCCUCUAAAAUUUCUUGCAAUUGUUUCUUGGAUGAUAGUAUGGAGAAUAUCUUUCAGGAAACAUGCUUAGAAUAGUCACAAAAGCACUGAAUAGCCCUGAAAAUAACAGCCAUCUUACUAAUAAUACUCCAGCACUCUCCCUUUUCAUAGAAUGCGUGCUUGACAUAUCAUAAAUGUCUUCAACAGUAUGAGAAUGUCCCAUAUUUGUUGGAAAGGCACCUGACAUCAUCCCAAAUUUUAGUGUUACUGUCCAACAAAAUUAAAACAAACAAACAAACAAAACAAAAGAAAAAAACAAAAUUCUUGAAAUAACUGCAUGUUUUGCAUGUUUUUCUUUUUCAGUUAUACUCAGUGCUCUCAGUCAGGCCUUCACACAGUCUGUGUUUGGCUGAAUUCUCUUUGCGGAGUUUAAGAGACUUCAGAGGCAUUUCUGAAAGCAUUUAGAUUAAAUACAGAGAGCAGAAAAAAGAAAGGAGGUUCUUAAUGUUUGAUUUUGAUUCUUUUUUUGUUCUAUAAUGUAACAUCGAUAGCUUGGGAACUGGCUUAAACAGUUAAUGGUAAAUGCCUAUGGUAAAUGGUAAAGGCAUACUGUUACAGUUAAAAUUUAAUAUUUAAAAUUUAAUAAUUUUAAUAUCCCAUGGGGAAUCAUCUGAGUUGUUAUGCAUAAAUGAACAUGACAAAAUUCCUUGUCAGGUAGAGUAAAUAACUUCAGUAUGUGCGUAUUUCUCUCAUUUACUCCUCACAUUUUUUGCCACCUAUUUUAUCAUAAAUACAGAAACUAGCUUCAGUCCCCAAAGCAAGAAAUCAGAGGUAAGAAUGCAGACCACACUUACAGUUUUCUGAAAUUCUAAGGAAAACUGUAAUCUAGAUUUCCUAAGUGGAAUCAUGGUUAUUAUAUUCAAGACAUGAUUUUUAUUUAUUUUUUCAGUGGGUAACUGGGAAAAAUGAGCUGAAGUUUCAUAUAGUUUUCGAAAGCAAUAUUUUGUCAUUUUGAUAUUUGUCUUCUCUCAACAGCAGUUUCUAUUAUUGUCAUGUACAAUUAGGCCUAAUUAUUAAUGGUUUCAUUAAAAAAAAGCAUUUUCCUCUUUUUUAUUUUUUGUUCUGUCUGGAAAGGAGAAUUCUUGCAAAGACAGGAAGCCCAGUUGCCUGAAUAUAAUCAUAGUGUAAUUUUAUCAUAAGCAGAGAUUGUAGUUGAUUUAAAGGUGGUUUUUUUUUUGUUUGUUUGUUUUUUUUGUUUUUGUUUUUUCUGCAAUCUGAGUGAACAGAGUCUAUGCUUUGCCUAAUUGUUACUUCCUGUUUCAAGUUGUCUUUCUUGAGUCAGUACUGGGACCUGUCCUGUUUAAUAUCUUUAUUGGUGACCUGGAUGAAGGGAUUGAGUGCACCCUCAGUAAGUUUGCAGAUGACACCAAGAGGAGGGAGGAAGUGUCGAUCUGCCUGUUGGAGGACCCUGCAGAUCUGGACAGACUGCAUUGUUGGGCUGAGGCCAGCACUAUGAAAUUCAACAAGACUGGGUGCUGAGUCCUGCACUUUGAUCAGAAGAAUCCCAGAACUGCUGCUGAGGGGAGCUGGAAUCAGAACUACACAUCCAGCACAGUGCCGUCUGGAAGGGGAUCAGCAAAUAGGGACUGAGGCACUGCCUUCCCACUUCUGACAGCUCCAAACCCAUUCCCAGAGGCUACAUCAAAGUGAGAAGUCAUGGACUUGGCCUUGCUCAUCAUCCUUUGAUUUUUCUGUUACAGCUCCCAGUCAAUUAAUGAUUGUAGCUUAACUUAUGAAACCUUGAUCCAUGUUGCAAUAAUAACCAAAUAAUCCUUGCCUUCUGUGAAAUCAGAAGUUACUUCUUAAAUUGCAAGAGAGUUUAUAACACCUGUCCUGGAUCAGCCUGAUAAACACUAACACCUGACCAUAGAGUGGGACGGAAGGGUGGGAAUGUCCUGCAGUCAGGAUGCCCAACCUGGCUACAAAAGGGCUGUAGAUACAGUAAUUUUGAAGAGCACUUAACUCACUGUUAAAUAUUUAAGAGGAGAGAGUACAUGAGAGCUAAAGAUUUUCUUUUGGCAUAAACAUUUCUUAGGCUCUGGUGUUGUUGCAUUGUAAGUCACGUGCAGUGGCACUGGAAAGGGGCAGCAAGGCAGGUGCAUGGUAUGACCCUGAGGUUCUCAUUCUUGGAGCCACUUUCUCUGCGUGGACUGUGGAUAAUAGCAGUGUAAUGGAGGUUGUCACCUUUUGGCCUGUGAACCUCUAACCCUCAAAUAAUGGCCACGAAUGUGAAUUCAUUCAAAUUAAAAGUUUUACAUCUGUCAGGUUAUAAAUACAUAAAGGAGCAACUCUGUUAUUCAGUUGUGUUGAAAAGAAGUUGAAAAGCCUCUGAAUUGAAACAUGCUUGCCGCUAGAUAAGAUACAUUUUUAAAGAGCAUGCUCUUAUUUUAAUAAA